UAGGGGGCAAGCGUUAUCCGGAAUUACUGGGUGUAAAGGGUGAGUAGGUGGCAUGGUAAGCCAGAUGUGAAAGCCUUGGGCUUAACUCGAGGAUUGCAUUUGGAACUAUCAAGCUAGAGUACAGGAGAGGAAAGCGGAAUUCCUAGUGUAGCGGUGAAAUGCGUAGAUAUUAGGAAGAACACCAGUGGCGAAGGCGGCUUUCUGGACUGAAACUGACGCUGAGGCACGAAAGCGUGGGGAGCGAA
This 245-nucleotide ribosomal RNA is filed under the name uncultured bacterium. RNAcentral's name for it is "partial 16S ribosomal RNA". It matches the Rfam family "Bacterial small subunit ribosomal RNA", at positions 528 to 772 of the family's 1533-position model. The record is from RNAcentral.